UACGUAGGGGGCAAGCGUUAUCCGGAUUCACUGGGUUUAAAGGGAGCGUAGGUGGGUCUGUAAGUCAGUGGUGAAAUCUCCGGGCUUAACCUGGAAACUGCCAUUGAUACUAUAGGUCUUGAAUAUUGUGGAGGUUAGCGGAAUAUGUCAUGUAGCGGUGAAAUGCUUAGAUAUGACAUAGAACACCAAUUGCGAAGGCAGCUGGCUACGCAUAUAUUGACACUGAGGCUCGAAAGCGUGGGGAUCAAACAGG
This 253-nucleotide ribosomal RNA is filed under the name uncultured bacterium. Its description in RNAcentral is "partial 16S ribosomal RNA". It matches the Rfam family "Bacterial small subunit ribosomal RNA", at positions 524 to 776 of the family's 1533-position model. The record is from RNAcentral.